UACGUAGGGUGCGAGCGUUGUCCGGAUUUAUUGGGCGUAAAGGGCUCGUAGGCGGCCUGUCGCGUCGGGAGUGAAAGCCCACUGCUUAACGGUGGGUCUGCUUCCGGUACGGGCGGGCUAGAGUAUGGCAGGGGAGACUGGAAUUCCUGGUGUAGCGGUGGAAUGCGCAGAUAUCAGGAGGAACACCGGUGGCGAAGGCGGGUCUCUGGGCCAUUACUGACGCUGAUGCGCGAAAGCGUGGGGAGCAAACAGG
Molecule: ribosomal RNA, 253 nt
Filed under: uncultured bacterium
Lineage: Bacteria
Description: partial 16S ribosomal RNA
Rfam family: Bacterial small subunit ribosomal RNA
Source: RNAcentral